Non-coding RNA from Oryctolagus cuniculus (rabbit), 1308 nucleotides. The record is from RefSeq and is a predicted model, not a curated record. NCBI's taxonomy places the organism in Eukaryota, Metazoa, Chordata, Mammalia, Lagomorpha, Leporidae.
GCCGUGUCCGAUGGAGACCCGGCUCAGGGGGCUGAGGAGGGCGGCCAGCUCGAUGUGGAAGAUGUCGGUGCGGCCACGGUCAAACACCCCGCCCUCCAGGAAGAUCUUCCCGCUGUUCUUGUUCCCUCUGGCCCCGUACAUGACCAGCCUACGCUCCCCUGUGUGCACAGAGAGACAAGAAAAUUUCAAACAAAAAAGACCAGAGGAGACAGAACCAAGUCCAAGCCUUGAUGGUCCACCCACUGAAAGAUGCUCUUCCGAAGACAACAAGGAGCUGUGCCUGAGAUCUAAGGGCUCCUGGCAUCCCCCAGCUUCGGGCCAGGUGGCAGGGACCCAACUACUUGAACCAUCACUGCUAUUUCCCAAGGUUGACAAUAGCAGGAAGCUGGACUCAGGAGCCAGAGUUGGGAAUCGAACCGGUGCACUCUGAUGCAGAAGGCAGAUGUCUUAACCACUAGACUAAACAUCUGCUCAUCUUUUUUUUUUUUAAGGAAAUAAAAUACAAUAGAUAUAUCCAAGGCCUCACUGUUCAUCUCUUCUCUCCUCCUCCUCCCUUCCCAAAAUAAGUGCCAACCUCAAGGUGGUGUGUGUCAUGCCCAUGAAUGUUUGUACAUGUAUGUAUCCAUAAAGAAAGUACACUAUUUUUGCAUGUUAUAGAAUUUUACAUAAAUAAUAACACAGUGCACAUCUCUGCACUUUUAAGUUCCUCAUAUGUACACUGGAAAUAAUAACUGUGCCUACCACCCAGGGUUCACUGUGCCAUUCACUGAAUUCAUGCCUACACCACCUGGAGCAUGGUAGGCACCAAGGCAUCAUGGCCACAGGGGCUGCUGUUGCUGUUCCUGCUAUCAUUGUCACGUGCCUUUGUGCAGCGGGACUCUUUUCAGUUAACAUUAUGCCUUUGAGAUCAUCCUGGUUCCCCUGGAAUCUUAGCUCAUUCAUCCAACUACUGUCUAACAGCCACUGGAUAAAGCCACUCUUGUCUUCGCUGCCUUCUACUGAUGGCCAUUUCAGUUGUUUCUAAAUUUUUGUUAUUGCCAAUAACACUGCAAUGGACCCAUCUCUUGCUGCACAUUUGUUAGGAACUGCCCUGAGCACACAACUCCAAGUAGAAUUUCUGGGCUCUGAGUAAGCUCAGGCUCUGUUAGGAAGGGUUGCAAAGUUCCCCUCUGAAAUGGCUGUACUACAGUAAUCAGUACCUGCAGUGUGCUAGGGUUCCCAUUCUCCACAUCAUUGUUUUUUUUUUUUUUUAAUUUUUUUUAUUUAUUUAUUUUGACAGGCAGAGUGGACAGUGAGAGAGAGAGACAG